Molecule: long non-coding RNA, 1558 nt
Filed under: Macaca fascicularis (crab-eating macaque)
Lineage: Eukaryota; Metazoa; Chordata; Mammalia; Primates; Cercopithecidae
Description: lncRNA (ENSMFAG00000052225.1)
Source: RNAcentral
UAGGGUGAGCUGCCGCAUGGGCUGUGGCCUGCUAGCAUUUGAUAGGUGAGCAUGCGCAGUGUGUUUACUGGAGUUACAUGCAUGCUCAUCUGAGACAGUCUUCCCUUACCGGUCAGAUGCCCCUGGGAGAUCACAUACUAGCUAAACUCUGCCAUUUUGCCUCUUAGUGUGCAUGCUUGAGCUCAUUUACCCAACUCCUGAGAUCUUAGGAAGCUGCCGAUCACUAGUUUCAGGUGUGUCCUAUCUGUAGGGCGACUGCCUUUCCCUGGUGCUGGCUGCAACCUAUUAUUAUUUUAGAGAGGCAGUGUGACAACGGCCUGACCAUCACCUGAUGGUUGCCUGACUUUCCUGGUGGGGUGUGGGGGCCUCUCCUGCCCUGUUACUGUCUGAAUAACCACUAAAACAAUCUCAAUUCAAAAUCUAGCCAGAUGUUCAGCUUGUCUUUAAACCUCUAAGACUCCUUCAUUUCCAAUAAAAUGACAUUAAUAAGAAAUUUCACGGAGUUUUCAGGAUCACAUGUGCAUUUUUUAAAUGGGAGAGCAUUAUAAAAUCUAUAUAAAAUUUAGUUGUUAUUAAAUGGAAAACAUCAUCUUUUAUAGUGAGAGUUGACAUCAUCUGGCCAUAAGCUUAAUUUAAUAUGAAUUAUAAACAUUUUUUCACAUCUAGUAAUUUAUUCUUUCUCAAUUUGGAUAUAAUAGGACACAAUUCAAAAUAUGCAUUCACCACCUGAGGAAAAUAUACCUGUCAUUUUUCUGAAAUCAAUGCUUCUGUUUCUCACUAGCAAGCUAAGUGGAAAAGGUAUAUACAGGUCAAAUGUAGCAGGUUAGACUGUAAAAAAAAAUUAUACAAAACUCUCGACCUGACGGAGGGUAUUCACUUUCCCUAAAACAAUCUUUUAACCACUGAAAAGUAAACUUCAAAUUUCAGAAGUUCAGUUGAAUUUAAGCACCCCCAAAAUUUGGCUGUUGAUCCAAAUGUUAUUUGAAACUUUAUACCACAUAUAAUUAUACUGAAAAUUGUAUUAAAACAGGAUGACUGUCUGGUACUAUUUUCAUGCAUUUUGCCUUUUUAUAUAACCAUAACAGAGGGUCAGAAACAUACAUAAAAAUAAUUUAUGAAAAUAAGCCACAUUUUUUGGAAAUAUAGGACAGGACUAAAAUUGGAUCAUGCUUAUCAUGUAUAAAGUUCAAAUUGUUUUAAAUGCAUUCCCACGCAGCAGUUCAAGAAAGUGAAAAGUAAAUGGUUCAGGUGAUCGUUUUCUCUUUAAGGUGUGAAAGCAGAUAAUACAGCGAUGUAAAGAAAGCCACCAAUUUCUUCACAUAUAGUAAGAUAAGAAUUGUUAUUCCAUAUGUAGAAUACUGGAGAGUAUAUAUAUGAAAUACCCAUCUUGCUAUUGGCUGAUAAAGGUUUACUUAAUCAAAGACUAUAAAAUUCUCGAAGUUAUGAGCUGUGGUGGCUCAGGCCGGUGUCCUGGUGCAUAAGGAAGUGAGACUACGUGUUCACGGCCAACAUGGGCAACAUUAUAAACCUCUCAUCCAUUUAAAAAAAAAAAAAAAAA